UGGGGAAUUUUGGACAAUGGGCGAAAGCCUGAUCCAGCAAUGCCGCGUGUGUGAAGAAGGCCUUCGGGUUGUAAAGCACUUUUGUCCGGAAAGAAAUCCUUGGCUCUAAUACAGUCGGGGGAUGACGGUACCGGAAGAAUAAGCACCGGCUAACUACGUGCCAGCAGCCGCGGUAAUACGUAGGGUGCAAGCGUUAAUCGGAAUUACUGGGCGUAAAGCGUGCGCAGGCGGUUUGCUAAGACCGAUGUGAAAUCCCCGGGCUCAACCUGGGAACUGCAUUGGUGACUGGCAGGCUAGAGUAUGGCAGAGGGGGGUAGAAUUCCACGUGUAGCAGUGAAAUGCGUAGAGAUGUGGAGGAAUACCGAUGGCGAAGGCAGCCCCCUGGGCCAAUACUGACGCUCAUGCACGAAAGCGUGGGGAGCAAACAGGAUUAGAUACCCUGGUAGUCCACGCCCUAAACGAUGUCAACUAGUUGUUGGGGAUUCAUUUCCUUAGUAACGUAACUAACGCGUGAAGUUGACCGCCUGGGGAGUACGGUCGCAAGAUUAAAACUCAAAUGAAUUGACGGGGUCAUAGCUGUUUCCU
This 585-nucleotide ribosomal RNA is filed under the name uncultured bacterium. RNAcentral's name for it is "partial 16S ribosomal RNA". It matches the Rfam family "Bacterial small subunit ribosomal RNA", at positions 355 to 1375 of the family's 1533-position model. The record is from RNAcentral.